Molecule: unclassified non-coding RNA, 311 nt
Filed under: uncultured fungus
Lineage: Eukaryota; Fungi
Description: partial contains small subunit ribosomal RNA, internal transcribed spacer 1, and 5.8S ribosomal RNA
Rfam family: Eukaryotic small subunit ribosomal RNA (bases 1-73)
Source: RNAcentral
ACAAACUUGGUCAUUUAGAGGAAGUAAAAGUCGUAACAAGGUUUCCGUAGGUGAACCUGCGGAAGGAUCAUUAAAGAGUUAGGGUGCUUGCCGCCCGAUCUCCCACCCUUUGUUGUCGCGAAUACAUGUUGCUUCGGCGAGGCCAGCGAGACCCCCUUUGGGGGUGUAGCGGCCGGGCCCCGGCCUGGUCAGCGCCCGCCGGGGGUAUUUCCAAGAACCUUUCAGUAAUGCUGUGGUCAGAGUGGAAUUUUAAAUCAAACAAAACUUUCAACAACGGAUCUCUUGGUUCUGGCAUCGAUGAAGAACGCAGC